This is a long non-coding RNA of Struthio camelus australis, 765 nucleotides long. RefSeq lists it as uncharacterized. NCBI's taxonomy places the organism in Eukaryota, Metazoa, Chordata, Aves, Struthioniformes, Struthionidae. The record is from RefSeq and is a predicted model, not a curated record.
GACACAAGGGAAGGGAGAGAGCAGGGCUGUCAGACCCCCUCAGCAUUCCUGGCAGAGGGCUUCCAGAGAGACACUUCUUCCAUGCCCCACAGCGGACAGCUAGCACCAUCCCUGACUUCCCUGCAGAGAUCCCAGCCCUGGGGGGAGGGAGCCCCAAUCCCAGCCCCAUCCGGAUACCGCGGCAGCAAGGCAGAGCAACUCUGCACAGUCAGCCCCAGCAGGGCUCUGCCUUAUGCCUUGAGGCCUUGUCUCAAGCACACAGAGGGUCUCUGUCUCUGUCACCCUGAUGUAGCAGCUGGGAAAACAGAAGCACAAGGAGACGCAGCAUCCGCCCUGGAAUGGUUGCAAUCUGGGGCAGGAUCUGAACACAGGACUCCUCCUAGCUUCCUUGGGUCUACCUCAGGGCCUGGUUCCUUUCCCUGGGGAGGCAUGAAAGGCUUACAGGCACCAAGAUCCCAAGGGGAGAGUCUGAAGGCUGGAGAGGAUGGCCUCCUCCCUAGGACCCCAUGGCCUUCACCUUCUCCUCAGGUGAGGACAGCCAUGUGGGGAUCCACAUACUACCCACACUGCCCAAACUUGUGCCCCAUUAUCGUUGCAGAGCCCUGCCUGGGCAGGAGCAGAAAGGAGGAGGGUGGUUGCCUCCAUCUGUCUGGGCUGUUGGCACUGUGGGUUUGAAGGUUGGUAGAGUCCAGGGGCCCCCCUGCUCUCAGAAAGCACUGCUGAGGCAGAGUGGGAAAGCGCUGAGGUUGAUGGAGAGCUUGAGGC